GGGGGGGGGGGGGGGGGGGGGGGGGGGGGGGGGGGCGGGGGGCGGCGCGGGAGGGGGGGGGUCGUGCGGGUGGCGGGUGGCGGGCGGGGGGGGAAUACAUCGGAAUCUACUUUUGCGUGGGGGAUAACGUAGGGAAACUUCCGCUACUACCGCAUACGACCUCCGGGUGAAAGCAGGGGAUCUUCGGCCCUUGCGCGAUUGCAUGAGCCGAUGUCGGAUUAGCUAGUUGGCGGGGUAAAGGCCCACCAAGGCGACGAUCCGUAGCUGGUCUGAGAGGAUGAUCAGCCACACUGGAACUGAGACACGGUCCAGACUCCUACGGGAGGCAGCAGUGGGGAAUAUUGGACAAUGGGCGCAAGCCUGAUCCAGCCAUACCGCGUGGGUGAAGAAGGCCUUCGGGUUGUAAAGCCCUUUUGUUGGGAAAGAAAAGCAGCAGGUUAAUACCCCGCUGUUCUGACGGUACCCAAAGAAUAAGCACCGGCUAACUUCGUG
This 492-nucleotide ribosomal RNA is filed under the name uncultured bacterium. RNAcentral describes it as "partial 16S ribosomal RNA". It matches the Rfam family "Bacterial small subunit ribosomal RNA", at positions 39 to 507 of the family's 1533-position model. The record is from RNAcentral.